GUAGCGAACAGGAUUAGAUACCCUGGUAGUCCACACCGUAAACGCUGUCUACUAGCUGUGUGUGUCUUUAAGACGUGCGUAGCGAAGCUAACGCGCUAAGUAGACCGCCUGGGGAGUACGGCCGCAAGGUUAAAACUCAAAUGAAUUGACGGGGGCCCGCACAAGCGGUGGAGCAUGUGGUUUAAUUCGACAACACGAAGAACCUUACCAGG
RNAcentral lists this ribosomal RNA (212 nucleotides) under Ochromonas sp. CCMP1393. RNAcentral's name for it is "partial Bacterial small subunit ribosomal RNA". It matches the Rfam family "Bacterial small subunit ribosomal RNA", at positions 765 to 978 of the family's 1533-position model. The record is from RNAcentral. Lineage: Eukaryota; Chrysophyceae; Chromulinales; Chromulinaceae.